GAUGAACGCUGGCGGCGUGCCUAAUACAUGCCAGUCGAGCGAACGGACGAGAAGCUUGCUUCUCUGAUGUUAGCGGCGGACGGGUGAGUAACACGUGGAUAACCUACCUAUAAGACUGGGAUAACUUCGGGAAACCGGAGCUAAUACCGGAUAAUAUUUUGAACCGCAUGGUUCAAAAGUGAAAGACGGUCUUGCUGUCACUUAUAGAUGGAUCCGCGCUGCAUUAGCUAGUUGGUAAGGUCACGGCUUACCAAGGCAACGAUGCAUAGCCGACCUGAGAGGGUGAUCGGCCACACUAGAACUGGGACACGGUCCAGACUCCUACGGGAGGCAGCAGUAGGGAAUCUUCCGCAAUGGGCGAAAGCCUGACGGAGCAACGCCGCGUGAGUGAUGAAGGUCUUCGGAUCGUAAAACUCUGUUAUUAGGGAAGAACAUAUGUGUAAGUAACUGUGCACAUCCUGACGGUACCUAAUCAGAAAGCCACGGCUAACUACGUG
Molecule: ribosomal RNA, 497 nt
Filed under: uncultured bacterium
Lineage: Bacteria
Description: partial 16S ribosomal RNA
Rfam family: Bacterial small subunit ribosomal RNA
Source: RNAcentral